This 1216-nucleotide ribosomal RNA is filed under the name uncultured bacterium. RNAcentral describes it as "partial 16S ribosomal RNA". It matches the Rfam family "Bacterial small subunit ribosomal RNA", at positions 9 to 1214 of the family's 1533-position model. The record is from RNAcentral.
GAGUUUGAUCCUGGCUCAGGAGAACGCUGGCGGCGUGCCAUACAUGCAAGUCGAGCGAACUGUUGAGUUUACUCAACAGUUAGCGGCGGUGAGUAACACGUGGGCAACCUGUAUAAGACUGGGCCCACUUCGGGAAACCGGAGCUCUCGCAUGAGAGAAGAUGGAAAGACGGCGUCUCGCUGUCACUUAUAGAUGGGCCCGCGGCGCAUUAGCUAGUUGGUGAGGUAAGGCUUGGUAGCCGACCUGAGAGGGUGAUCGGCCACACUGGGCACCAAGGCAACGAACUGAGAACGCCUACGGUUACCAGCAGUAGGGAAUCUUCCGCUACAACAAUGCGAAAGUCUGACGGAGCAACGCCGCGUGAACGAUGAAGGCUCCCUGAAAGCCCCCGGGGUCGUAAAGUUCUGUUGUUGGGAAGAACAAGUACCAGAGGGACGUAACUGCUGGACCUUGACGGUACCUAACCAGAAAGCCACGGCUAACUACGUGCCAGCAGCCGCGGUAAUACGUAGGGGGAGGUGGCAAGCGUUAUCCGGAAUUAUUGGGCGUAAAGCGCGCGCAGGUGGUUCCUUUUUUACCGGAUAUGUUCUUAAAGUCUGAUGGCUCAACCGGGGAGGGUCAUUGGAAACUGGGGAACUUGAGUGUAGAAGAGGAAAGUGGAUUCCCCAGACUACGUGUAGCGGUGAAAUGCGUAGAGAUGUGGAGGAACACCAGUGGCGAAGGGCAUUAAGCACUACACACGUCGACUUUCGACAAGUGGUCUAUAACUGACACUGAGGCGCGAAAGCUGGGGAGCAAACAGGAUUAGAUAGGGUGGUAGUCCACGCCGUAAACGAUGAGUGCUAAGUGUUAGAGGGUUUCCGCCCUUUAGUGCUGCAGCUAACCUCCGCCUUACGGCCGCAAGGCUGAAACUCAAAGGAAUUGACGGCCCCCGCUCUGACACACAAGCGGUGGAGCAUGUGGUUUAAUUCGAAGCAACGCGAAGAACCUUACCAGGUCUUGACAUCCUCCUAGAGAUAGGACUCGGGGCUUCGGGGUGAGGUGGUGCAUGGUUGUCGUCAGCUCGUGUCGUGAGAUGUUGGGUUAAGUCCCGCAACGAGCGCAACCCUUGAUCUUAGUUGCCAGCAUUCAGUUGGGCACUCUAAGGUGACUGGGGGUGAUAAACCGGAGGAAGGUGGGGAUGACGUCAAAUCAUCAUGCCCCUUAUGACCUGGGG